GAUGAACGCUAGCUACAGGCUUAACACAUGCAAGUCGAGGGGAAACGGCAUUGAGUGCUUGCACUCUUUGGACGUCGACCGGCGCACGGGUGAGUAACGCGCAUCCAACCUUCCCAUUACUGUGGGAUAACCUGCCGAAAGGCAGACUAAUACCGCAUAGUCUUCGAUGACGGCAUCAGAUUUGAAGUAAAGAUUUAUCGGUAAUGGAUGGGGAUGCGUCUGAUUAGCUUGUUGGCGGGGUAACGGCCCACCAAGGCUACGAUCAGUAGGGGUUCUGAGAGGAAGGUCCCCCACAUUGGAACUGAGACACGGUCCAAACUCCUACGGGAGGCAGCAGUGAGGAAUAUUGGUCAAUGGACGGAAGUCUGAACCAGCCAAGUAGCGUGCAGGAUGACGGCCCUAUGGGUUGUAAACUGCUUUUGUAUGGGGAUAAAGUUAGGGACGUGUCCCUAUUUGCAGGUACCAUACGAAUAAGGACCGGCUAAUUCCGU
RNAcentral lists this ribosomal RNA (491 nucleotides) under uncultured bacterium. RNAcentral describes it as "partial 16S ribosomal RNA". It matches the Rfam family "Bacterial small subunit ribosomal RNA", at positions 28 to 506 of the family's 1533-position model. The record is from RNAcentral.